RNAcentral lists this ribosomal RNA (440 nucleotides) under uncultured bacterium. Its description in RNAcentral is "partial 16S ribosomal RNA". It matches the Rfam family "Bacterial small subunit ribosomal RNA", at positions 339 to 795 of the family's 1533-position model. The record is from RNAcentral.
CUACGGGCUGCUGCAGUGAGGAAUAUUGCACAAUGGGGGGAACCCUGAUGCAGCAACGCCGCGUGGAGGAUGACGCAUUUCGGUGUGUAAACUCCUUUUAUAUGUCAAGAAAAUGACGGUAGCAUAUGAAUAAGCACCGGCUAACUCCGUGCCAGCAGCCGCAGGUAAUACGGAGGGUGCAAGCGUUACUCGGAAUCACUGGGCGUAAAGGACGCGUAGGCGGGUUGGAAAGUCAGGUGUGAAAUCCUACAGCUGAACUGUAGAACUGCACUUGAAACUUCUAAUCUAGAGUAUGGGAGGGGGAGAUGGAAUUAGUGGUGUAGGGGUAAAAUCCGUAGAUAUCACUAGGAAUACCUAAAGCGAAGGCGAUCUCCUGGAACAUUACUGACGCUAAGGCGUGAAAGCGUGGGGAGCAAACAGGAUUAGAUACCCGCGUAGUC